UUUCCGUAGGUGAACCUGCGGAAGGAUCAUUACCGAGUGAGGGCCCUCUGGGCCCAACCUCCCACCCGUGUUUAUCGUACCUUGUUGCUUCGGCGGGCCCGCCUCACGGCCGCCGGGGGGCACCCGCCCCCGGGCCCGCGCCCGCCGAAGACACCAUUGAACGCUGUCUGAAGAUUGCAGUCUGAGCAUCUUGGCUAAAUCAGUUAAAACUUUCAACAACGGAUCUCUUGGUUCCG
Molecule: unclassified non-coding RNA, 236 nt
Filed under: plant metagenome
Description: partial contains small subunit ribosomal RNA, internal transcribed spacer 1, and 5.8S ribosomal RNA
Source: RNAcentral